Molecule: ribosomal RNA, 781 nt
Filed under: uncultured Lactobacillus sp.
Lineage: Bacteria; Bacillati; Bacillota; Bacilli; Lactobacillales; Lactobacillaceae
Description: bacterial SSU rRNA
Rfam family: Bacterial small subunit ribosomal RNA
Source: RNAcentral
GACGAACGCUGGCGGCGUGCCUAAUACAUGCAAGUCGAGCGAGCGGAACUAACAGAUUUACUUCGGUAAUGACGUUAGGAAAGCGAGCGGCGGAUGGGUGAGUAACACGUGGGGAACCUGCCCCAUAGUCUGGGAUACCACUUGGAAACAGGUGCUAAUACCGGAUAAGAAAGCAGAUCGCAUGAUCAGCUUUUAAAAGGCGGCGUAAGCUGUCGCUAUGGGAUGGCCCCGCGGUGCAUUAGCUAGUUGGUAAGGUAAAGGCUUACCAAGGCGAUGAUGCAUAGCCGAGUUGAGAGACUGAUCGGCCACAUUGGGACUGAGACACGGCCCAAACUCCUACGGGAGGCAGCAGUAGGGAAUCUUCCACAAUGGACGCAAGUCUGAUGGAGCAACGCCGCGUGAGUGAAGAAGGUUUUCGGAUCGUAAAGCUCUGUUGUUGGUGAAGAAGGAUAGAGGUAGUAACUGGCCUUUAUUUGACGGUAAUCAACCAGAAAGUCACGGCUAACUACGUGCCAGCAGCCGCGGUAAUACGUAGGUGGCAAGCGUUGUCCGGAUUUAUUGGGCGUAAAGCGAGCGCAGGCGGAAGAAUAAGUCUGGUGUGAAAGCCCUCGGCUUAACCGAGGAACUGCAUCGGAAACUGUUUUUCUUGAGUGCAGAAGAGGAGAGUGGAACUCCAUGUGUAGCGGUGGAAUGCGUAGAUAUAUGGAAGAACACCAGUGGCGAAGGCGGCUCUCUGGUCUGCAACUGACGCUGAGGCUCGAGAGCAUGGGUAGCGAACAGG